GGCACCUGAAUAUGUGACAUGGUUAAACUUUGACAAAGAUGCAAAGGCAAGACUUUAAGAUGCUGUUUCUGGUGGUUACCAUGGUUUCAACAAUGUAUUAGUUUGUGAUUAGUAAAUACAUGGUAAAUAAACCAGAUUUCCAAGUGGUUUUCUUCAUCAGAGGGGCAACAACCAAGAUUAAAUCCAACUUGAAUGUCAUCAAUUAUUGUCAUAUAGUGAAUAACUAUGAUUUGACAAUUAGAAUAAAUAUAUUUGCUUGAGAGAAUUCUGUCUAAAAUUAGUAAAGGAAUAAAGAAGUCUUAACUAUGGCAUCUCUUUCUGUAGAAGAAGAAAACUAUGUUCGAAUGAGUUUGUUAUUAACUGGAAUUUCUCCUCGUGCAGCAAGAACUUUCUUUGAUAGUGAAUUUGCUCCAGCAUGUUUAGAAGCGACAUUAAAAAAGGAGUAUAACAAAUUGCUUGACUUAAAAAAGAAGCAUAGAAUCAACCAAUCACAGUGGAACCUUCUGUGUCCUAGAUUUCCCGAUGUUCCAGAUUCUAAAACAUUUGACGUAACUUUGAUGAUACUGUUACUGAGGAAUUUGACUCCGAUCACC
Mytilus trossulus (common blue mussel) is the source of this 593-nucleotide long non-coding RNA. RefSeq lists it as uncharacterized. The transcript has 3 exons. NCBI's taxonomy places the organism in Eukaryota, Metazoa, Mollusca, Bivalvia, Mytilida, Mytilidae. The record is from RefSeq and is a predicted model, not a curated record.